CGGUUGAUCCUGCCGGAGGCCGCUGCUAUCCGGCUGGGACUAAGCCAUGCGAGUCAAGGGGCUUGUAUCCCUUCGGGGAUACAAGCACCGGCGGACGGCUCAGUAACACGUGGACAACCUGCCCUCGGGAGGGGGAUAACCCCGGGAAACUGGGGCUAAACCCCCAUAGGGGAUGGGUGCUGGAAUGCCCCAUCUCCGAAAGUCCGCUUUGCGGAGCCCGAGGAUGGGUCUGCGGCGGAUUAGGUAGUUGGUGGGGUAACGGCCCACCAAGCCGAAGAUCCGUACGGGCUGUGGGAGCAGGAGCCCGGAGAUGGACCCUGAGACACGGGUCCAGGCCCUACGGGGCGCAGCAGGCGCGAAACCUCCGCAAUGCGGGAAACCGCGACGGGGUCAGCCGGAGUGCCCGCGCAUUGCGCGGGCUGUCGGGGUGCCUAAAAAGCACCCCACAGCAAGGGCCGGGCAAGGCCGGUGGCAGCCGCCGCGGUAAUACCGGCGGCCCGAGUGGCGGCCACUCUUAUUGGGCCUAAAGCGUCCGUAGCCGGGCUGGUAAGUCCUCCGGGAAAUCUGGCGGCUCAACCGUCAGACUUCCGGAGGAUACUGCCAGCCUAGGGACCGGGAGAGGCCGGGGAAAUUCCCGGGGUAGGGGUGAAAUCCUGUAAUCCCAGGAGGACCACCUGUGGCGAAGGCGCCCGGCUGGAACGGGUCCGACGGUGAGGGACGAAGGCCAGGGGAGCGAACCGGAUUAGAUACCCGGGUAGUCCUGGCUGUAAACGAUGCGGACUAGGUGUCACCGGAGCUACGGGCUCCGGUGGUGCCGGAGGGAAGCCGUUAAGUCCGCCGCCUGGGGAGUACGGCCGCAAGGCUGAAACUUAAAGGAAUUGGCGGGGGAGCAC
Molecule: ribosomal RNA, 893 nt
Filed under: uncultured euryarchaeote
Lineage: Archaea; Methanobacteriati; Methanobacteriota
Description: bacterial SSU rRNA
Rfam family: Archaeal small subunit ribosomal RNA
Source: RNAcentral